Molecule: long non-coding RNA, 1647 nt
Filed under: Paramuricea clavata
Lineage: Eukaryota; Metazoa; Cnidaria; Anthozoa; Malacalcyonacea; Plexauridae
Source: RNAcentral
UGAAAAAAUUCAAAAUGACCGGCUUGGCGUAUACAUUCAGGGGAGGGCGAGUGAACUGGCUAGGAACAUGGCGACUGCAUUGCGAGUGCUUUGCAUGCGCGAUAUUCCCAAUACUGGGAUACCGGAUCUUGGAGUCUGCAUAUACAUGAGCUCGUCUUGGUUAGGUUAGGCUAUACAGUCUAUAUAUAGAUAUGCUAUAUAUACAGUAUGUACUCAAGCUAAGAUCGACUGCUAUCUGGAUCGUAGCAGUGACAUGUAGUCAUGCAUUAGUAUACAGAGCUAAGUAUAUGUCUUGUGUUUUGUGAAUCAUGAAUGUUUGCAAUUUUAUAACCUGCAUGUAUAAUAAACACGUUGUUUUAUUACAACAGCAUACCACCUGUAUAUCAAUACAUAGUCACACCACGUGAAAUCUCCAUCACAACUGGUGUAUUCUUGUUAUUAUUUGAAGUACACUCACAGCAUCCGUUCACAUAGCCUUGGCUUGUAUACUUGUUCAAUAUAUGAAUCAUUGUUUUUGUCGUACUUGAGACUGGCGUGGCGGAAGGUCUUUUAUGCACACAUUGGUCAGGAAAUGCCAGUUUUCAGUAACUUUCCUUUUCACAUUUGAUAAGACAAACUGUCAAAUUAAAGCAACGGAAGGCUUUAUAGUUGUAUUGUCUUUGUGUGGACUACGGCAUUGUCUUACUGGUAGGCGACCAAUAAAAGAGCAUUCAUAGUGUUGGACUAUUAAUUGAUUGUAGUUCCUUUGUUCACCAUUGUUCACGAUAAGCAGUUCAUCUUAUAGUCGAGAAUAUGAACGAAUUCUAAAUGAACGAACAACAGUUAAUACACGUGUUCAGCGAUCUAGUCAUGAUAACUACAGGUAAAUAGAUCAAUAUACUUUGUAUUAGGCCUAAUAGAUGUUGUUUCAAUGACACUGUAAUGUAUAUACUAAUACAGGUAUUUGUUUCAAAAAUUAAUUCUUGACUGCACACUUCAAUUUUAUAACGGCGAGCUAGCUAUUAAAUGCUGAACUUUAGUGCCAAUAACAUUGCAUGCUCAGUUGUCGAAAUGGCAAUGUCCAAUGGCAAUGAUUAGUGGCCUCCUUUUACCGUUUUGAUUGAUGAGGUCAUUAUAUAAUGCCAAUGGAUCUUAUAGACAUACGUGAUAGGCUACGGUAGCUACAUGCCGUUUUUUUAUCGUAUCAGAGCCUCUCUCAUCCGCAGAGGCGAUUGGAAUGGGCUUACAUGAAUGGAAUAGGCUUACAUAUGAAUCUUGAAACGUAAGCGCGCACGAAACUUCAUGUAAUGUAAGCCUAUUCCAUUCAUGUAAGCCUAUUCCAAUCGCCUCUGCGGAGGAGAGAGUAUCAGAGCUAUACGAUCCUAUAUAAAUAUAUUAAUAUUACAUGGUAUCCAUAUACAGAUCGAUGCAUUGGCACGUUCCAGACGUGAAAUAAAAACAUAUUUUAAUUCAAGUUUUGGACUGCGGCUACUACAAUUGUGAAUUGCUCACAAUAAUAUUGUAGCUAUCACGGCCACGGGAAUAUUUUCAUAAAAUACACAACAACGGUAACUCUGAAUAUUGAAAGCAUUUCUAUUUUCAAAUUAUUUUGAAAAUAAAAAUGCUUUCAAUAUACUGUUGUUGUGUAUGACACCGUACUGUCAGGGG